CGUCUGCAUCGGGCUGGCGGGUCGUCGCCCGUUGGGGCCGGGCGUCGGUGACGUUCUCGCUCGUCGUGCUGCUGG
RNAcentral lists this transfer RNA (75 nucleotides) under Pseudonocardia sulfidoxydans NBRC 16205. RNAcentral describes it as "tRNA-Pro". Lineage: Bacteria; Bacillati; Actinomycetota; Actinomycetes; Pseudonocardiales; Pseudonocardiaceae. The record is from RNAcentral.